ACACCGCUUCUAUCAACGUGUAUUCUUCUGCACACCACCGCAACUCUCGACCACUCAUAAAUAGCUUAUGUCUGGUUGUCUUCCAUCACCGAUCUCCUUAAUUUAUCAAUCUCUACUUUAUUUUAUUUUUCUUUCUCAUUUUUUUAACCACGUCUCUCUCUCUCUCUCUCUCUCAAAGAGCGUUCAUCUAGGGUUAGUUUAUAGACUCUUUAGGAUUUCAAAUCUUGGAUUCAAACAUCACACCGAUUAGAAAGAUUCUUUGGGAUUGUUGCUACUCUCUUUCUUCUCCUCAGACGUUUCCAUUUGAAAUCAAAUAUCUUCAUGAAUACGUGUUAGAGCUUUUGGAGUUCGUGAGGAAAAGGAUUCAUGAAGAGAAGUUGGGGAAACAUUAGCCAGAUUGAUCGGCAACGAUAGGGUUAAGAUUGUGUAUUUGAGCAUACAUGACCGGAUUCUAUACCGUAAGGUUCCCAGGACAUACAAGCUUUCUGUGGCCUUUCAGAUCUUCUUGAUUUGGCUUGAAACUUCUAAAACUCUGUUAUCCUUAUCUUAGUUUGAGUUUUCCGAGACAUGUAUGUGUAAUUACAUCUUCAGUUCUUCACCAUCGACUAGCGCUCUCAUGAUUGGUGAACUAAAUUAGGUAUACUCUCCAAGUCAUUUCAAUCUUAAUUUAUUUUUUUUCAUAAUUAGAUUUAAUAGUUUUGGUAAGAUAAACUUAUUUGGAUUGUGGUCGACACACACACAAAUAGGUGCAGAAACAGGAAAGCACGGGAUAGAUCUCCUCUCCCUCUCUCUCUCUCUCUCUCUUUCUCUCUAUUAUAUCAAUCAGAUUUCUUGUUAAAUUCAUGUUUUCACGCUAAUUUUGAUGGAAUCUGUGGCAUUCUCAUGUAUAUAAGAUAUUUUUGUAUUUGAAAUGUGCUCUUUCUUGUUUGAUAAAAGAUGUUCUGCCUUUAGCUGUCUUAUUUUACCAUCAUGUAAUUUGUGUAGUUUUCAUGAAUUUCAGAACACGGAUGUAUGCCUUUCUUUCCCUCUGUGACACCCAACUCCACCACCUCUUCAGAAAACGAUGCAUGAAUCGGCACGAGCUCUCAUACUCUUCUUGAAUGCUCCUUUCUUUCUCCGUCUCCUUCAAUUUUCCUUUCUUUCCUAUUUUAUAGAUUCAUUCUUCUGAGAUUAGUUGGGUUUCAGGUGGAUCUGUCUACCUCUGUUCUUCAUGUAAGAUUAACGCACACACAAACCCCUCUAACCGCUUCAGCCUCGUAAAAAUAGUCGGCUGAUACUAAUAUUAUAAGCAAUGUCACAAUGUGUCUCCAUUUCUCCCUCUUCCUGUUGAUCAAAUGUGAUUUUUUUGGUUCUUAUUUAGAGCAAAACCCUAGCAAUGAAGAAAAUACAAAGCCUAAUGAAGAAACGAUUUGAAUCGUACAUGCAUGUGAUCUCAAGUGACUCUGGUCUCUUCUUCCGAGUAAUCUACAAUGGAUGGAGAAAGAAAUGUGAAAUAGUGAUUACUUCUUAAAUAUAAUGGCAUAUGAUUUUAUCUUCUUAAACGGUCUCUUCAUCUCUUCUGAUUAUCCUAAAAUUCACCUUCUCUGCAAAUCCUAGGUUUCUUCCAAGUGUUUGCUCAUCAUCGUUGAAGUUGAGGUGUUCAACAGAGAUAUAUAUUAAUUAAAAGGUUUCGGAUACAUGCAUUUCCGAAAGUUGAGAAGCUAGUUUUUGUUUUCAUCUCUCAUAAUGUGAUGUCAGCUAGAGCCAUAUAGAAAAAAUACAACCUGGGAAAUAGUUCAUUAAGCAAGAAAUUCAAAAUCAAACAUUAUAUUGCAAUGACCCUAUUAUACUUUCAUUUCACUACAUUGUAA
Lactuca sativa (garden lettuce) is the source of this 1850-nucleotide non-coding RNA. The record is from RefSeq and is a predicted model, not a curated record. Lineage: Eukaryota; Viridiplantae; Streptophyta; Magnoliopsida; Asterales; Asteraceae.